CUGCGAGCUCACCAAUUAUUUGUACGGACGCAGCCAACAGUAGUUAUACUCGCCGCGUUUAGGAACUCCGUUGGAAACUGAGCUACUCUUGCUAUGUAGUGGUGAACCGAUUCGGACACUCGAACAACCUACGACCACUACAGAAUGGCUGGUCAUCACUGGUCAUCGGGAGGAGAGCAGAACGGCGAUCAAGAGCAGAUCAGUACAUAUCAGUCCGUCGUCGCGAGCCAUUGCAAGGGGCGAACCCUUGCCGUUUAUUUUAGAUUAAGCAAUAAAUGUUCGUAGUAUAGUGUAAAUAAAUGUAGUUUUUUUGUAAUAAAUGUGUUAUUUGUGAAAAACGGUGUUUGUGCUAUAUGUGAAGAGAGAUCUACGGGCGGAAUAAGGAUCAACGACGAAACCUGGGAAGGAUAAGGAGUAGGCAUUCAAGGAAAAGCAGGAAGGAUUGGAUUGGACGAAGGAAAAGGUACGUUCUGGCGAAGGUCGUGUGGAGGUCAAUUAUCUCGGUCGGAUGGUCUCCGACAUAAGCUGGUCCUUCGAACCGGAUUCUCCACAACCGCCAGACCACGGAUCGGUCGAAUCUCCACGCUUCGACCACCUCGCGCCUUGACCGUCCAGCAAAGGCCAUUCGGUGGACAAAGGAUACCGCCAUACUUACAGUACUUUCAAUAGUGCAAUCGCCAUCUAAAAGGUCCUCAAAGAAGCUAAUCGCCAUCUCAAGUCACCUGAAAGGAUCCUGCAGCCAUCAUCUGUAUAUUGAGAGGAUUAUUUCGCCAUCGUCUGGAAGGCGCUGUCCAACUGCCAUUUGGAAUCGUCAUCAAGUUCUUCGCCAACAACAUCAUCAGCGAUUAUCACCAUCAACAGUUGAUAUCAGCGAUAACGAGACUGGAACUGGAUUCGGUUAGCCCCCUUGGACCUUCAACUGGAUUGUAGAAUAACCAGAGCGUUGUUCUACUACCGUUCAGAUUAAGCAAUAAAUGUUCGUAGUAUAGUGUAAAUAAAUGUAGUUUUUUUGUAAUAAAUGUGUUAUUUGUGAAAAACGGUGUUUGUGCUAUAUGUGAAGAGAGAUCUACGGGCGGAAUAAGGAUCAACGACGAAACCUGGGAAGGAUAAGGAGUAG
This is a long non-coding RNA of Aedes albopictus (Asian tiger mosquito), 1117 nucleotides long. RefSeq lists it as uncharacterized. The record is from RefSeq and is a predicted model, not a curated record. Lineage: Eukaryota; Metazoa; Arthropoda; Insecta; Diptera; Culicidae. The transcript has 2 exons.